This is a long non-coding RNA of Dreissena polymorpha, 434 nucleotides long. RefSeq lists it as uncharacterized. The transcript is spliced from 4 exons. NCBI's taxonomy places the organism in Eukaryota, Metazoa, Mollusca, Bivalvia, Myida, Dreissenidae. The record is from RefSeq and is a predicted model, not a curated record.
CGAGCACUUGCCAUGACUUUAUUUUUGAAUAUUUCUGUGUUCAUGUGGUAGGGAAAACAUUGUUGUAUACUACAAAUUCCCUGUUUUGCUUUUAGGUUGGAGACUACAUAAGACUUUGACAGUUGGCGGGAAACCAUCAUCAACUGGAGAGAUGCCGGUAGAGGAAUGUCUUCGACUAAGUCAAGGGCCACUGGAUAAGGGUUGUUGAUGGCAAAACAGGUUGGAGACUACAUAAGACUUUGACAGUUGGCGGGAAACCAUCAUCAACUGGAGAGAUGCCGGUAAAAAGAUGGCCAUAAAACAGUGACCGCUGAUUCGCAUUGAGUUCUUUCUUACAUAUUGGAUGACCUAUGUUUUUUAUUGUUUAAAUCAUUGCGGCUUGGAAUGCUCUUUAAGAAAAGGUAGAGGAAUGUCUUCGACUAAGUCAAGGGCCA